UUCCGGUUGAUCCCGCCGGACCUGACUGCUAUCGGAUUGAUACUAAGCCAUGCGAGUCAUUGUAGCAAUACAAGGCAUACGGCUCAGUAACGCGUAGUCAACCUAACCUAUGGACGGAAAUAACCUCGGGAAACUGAGAAUAAUGUCCGAUAGAACACUAUACCUGGAAUGGUUUGUGUUCCAAAUGAUUUAUCGCCGUAGGAUGGGACUGCGGCCUAUCAGUUUGUUGGUGAGGUAAUGGCCCACCAAGACUAUUACAGGUACGGGCUCUGAGAGGGGUAGCCCGGAGAUGGGUACUGAGACACGGACCCAGGCCCUAUGGGGCGCAGCAGGCGAGAAAACUUUGCAAUGUGCGAAAGCACGACAAGGUUAAUCCGAGUGAUUUGUGCUAAACGAAUCUUUUGUUAGUCUUAGAACCACUAACGAAUAAGGGGUGGGCAAGUUCUGGUGUCAGCCGCCGCGGUAAAACCAGCACCCCAAGUGGUCAGGAUGAUUAUUGGGCCUAAAGCAUCCGUAGCCGGCUCUGUAAGUUUUCGGUUAAAUCUGUACGCUCAACGUACAGGCUGCCGGGAAUACUGCAGAGCUAGGGAGUGGGAGAGGUAGACGGUACUCGGAAGGAAGGGGAAAAUCCUUUGAUCUUUUGAUGACCACCUGUG
This 656-nucleotide ribosomal RNA is filed under the name uncultured archaeon. Its description in RNAcentral is "bacterial SSU rRNA". It matches the Rfam family "Archaeal small subunit ribosomal RNA", at positions 1 to 665 of the family's 1478-position model. The record is from RNAcentral.